AGUGAACGCUGGCGGUAGGCCUAACACAUGCAAGUCGAACGGCAGCACAGUAAGAGCUUGCUCUUACGGGUGGCGAGUGGCGGACGGGUGAGGAAUACAUCGGAAUCUACUUUUUCGUGGGGGAUAACGUAGGGAAACUUACGCUAAUACCGCAUACGACCUACGGGUGAAAGCAGGGGAUCUUUGGACCUUGCGCGAUUGAAUGAGCCGAUGUCGGAUUAGCUAGUUGGCGGGGUAAAGGCCCACCAAGGCGACGAUCCGGAGCUGGUCUGAGAGGAUGAUCAGCCACACUGGAACUGGGACACGGUCCAGACUCCUACGGGAGGCAGCAGUGGGGAAUAUUGGACAAUGGGCGCAAGCCUGAUCCAGCCAUACCGCGUGGGUGAAGAAGGCCUUCGGGUUGUAAAGCCCUUUUGUUGGGAAAGAAAAGCAGCAGGUUAAUACCCCGCUGUUCUGACGGUACCCAAAGAAUAAGCACCGGCUAACUUCGUG
Molecule: ribosomal RNA, 492 nt
Filed under: uncultured bacterium
Lineage: Bacteria
Description: partial 16S ribosomal RNA
Rfam family: Bacterial small subunit ribosomal RNA
Source: RNAcentral